RNAcentral lists this long non-coding RNA (2664 nucleotides) under Podarcis lilfordi (Lilford's wall lizard). The record is from RNAcentral. Lineage: Eukaryota; Metazoa; Chordata; Lepidosauria; Squamata; Lacertidae.
CUGAAGUUGCAGCCAGGGCUGAGACCCUAGACAUCCAUUGUUAGCCAUUACAGACAACACAGGUAGGGUACACAAGUAGGGCAUUUACACAUUGGCAGAAAAAAAGAAGAAAAUUAAAACUACCAGCCAAAAAAGAUUGACAUUAAAUUUGUAUGUGCUAAUUUAUAGUAUCGGUUCAAAUUCAGAAAGAAUCACUGUAAUUUAAAUAGAAAUACAAUGCAUCCCAUCCAAGUGAAGAGGUUGCCUGUGUGCCUCCUUAGUCUGCUGUUGAGGUCCUAACCGUGGUGGGUAAUUUCAGGGCCUCUGCCUUCCCUUCUUAUGGUUCAUAUGGGUACCCUAAACACUGGAGAAGAUGGAUUAGUGGUCUAAUUCAGUGUAAGGUAGUUUUAUAUGGUCACCUGAGCCCUCUCCAGGCAUCCUACUAACAUGUAUAGUUAUUAGUGGGGAAGAGCAUGCCAAGCUUUGUCCCUGUUGCCAUCAUCCUUCCUAAUCUGGAGGGCAAACUCCAGGGAGCCUCUGAUAGUUGUGAACUCUGCGGGGUUGUAUUUCACAUAAGUAAAUACACAGGAGUCUUCUUGUGUUGGAUCUUCCCCUUCCAACUCACAGAGGAUGAGAGAGACAGUGAAAUCAGGGAGCUUGGUGCUCACCCCCACUUUUCCCAUUCACAUGCUUGUUUUACCCAAGAGUAGAACUCGAGAAGGGGAGUAGGGUGGGGCUUUGGAAGAGAUGUUUAUCAACAACAAAUAUUCCCCUCAAAUGCCAUUUGCUGAAUUUUCUCUCAUCAACCUUUCCUGGGCCCCCCAAACCUCAAUCUCUCCCUCAGUCCAGAGGUCGGCAUCCCCCUUCUUUAGAGCACCUGUGAAUAUUCUGCAUUUUUAUGGUCAUUAUUAUGAGAUAUACAUUGUAUCCAUUAAAAAAUGCUAUUGGAUACACUGAAGGGUUUUUCUCUUUUUUUGCAGCUUGCUCUUUUAGAUGUCACACCUCUUGCCAGCAUCUGAAAUUGCCCAGUCCUCUCUCAAGAGUCUUUCCCCCCUUGAGAUAUAGCUCAUCUCCGUCUUCAGAUAUUACUUUCCACUGCAUUCUCAUUCAACACUCUGCCAGCUCCAUAACUUCCUCUUCUUUCCUGCCUGACACGUGGAUGGAGACACUAAACAGUAAAUGGAAUUAAGGGCCAUUAAAUUAAAUCUGCAGUGAGCAAAUGACAACAUGUGAAGCAAUGCAGGCUGAAGUAUUCGGUUGGUGUUGAAACUCACCUUUGAGUUUCAUUUAGUGCAAUGUCACCUGGGUCAAGUUAUGGAUCAGCCAGCUGAUGUCCCCUAAUGCCCUAGAGUUAUGCUAUGUUGAGAACUAAUGAUCUGGGGAAUUGUGAGGAAUUUAAAAUGGUGACCAUGAGUUGCUGGCCCCAGUUUAGUAAGUCCACCAGAUAGGGAUUCCACAAACAACAAGUCCAGGAUUUAGUCAUUGACAUAUCUAGGGAUGGUUGUGAAGAACUCCUAUCAGAAACACUGGAGUGGGUGGAGUUGAUAACGAGCUAGAUGGACCAGCGUUCUCAUUCACUUUCCAUGUUUUUAUAUUGCUGAUGAAAACUACCUUUGUUCAUUUGGCUUGCUUGCAAGGUUAAUUUACAGGUAUUGGCCUUCUGAAACAUUUGACUUUGGGUUUGUGAGCUACAGUUCCCAGAGUGGCUUAUCAAUCAAUUCCUCUUCACAGGGCAUUCUGGGAAUUGUAGUUCUGGGAGGGGAAAUUGGGCCUGUUAACAACUCACAGUACCCUUAACAAACUGUGGAUCUUUGGGUCAAACCAUGGCUGUUUAAAGUGGGAUCACAGUGGUUUAAAUGUAUGAUGGAAAGGCUGUAGUCCUGUACACAUUUACCAGGGACACGGGUGGCGCUGUGGUCUAAACCACCGAGCCUCUUGGGGUUGCCGAUCAGAAGGUGGGGAGUUCGAAUCCCCGUGAUGGAGUGAGCUUCCGUUGCUCUGUCCCAGCUCCUGCCACCCUAGCAGUUCGAAAGCAUGCCAGUGCAAGUAGAUAAAUAGGUACAGCUGUGGCAGGAAGGUAAACAGCAUUUCCAUGUGCUCUGGUUUCUGUCAGGGUGUUCCAUUGUGCCAGAAGCAGUUUAGUCAUGCUGGCCACAUGACCCAGAAAGCUGUCUGUGGACAAACGCCGGCUCCCUCAGCCUGAAAGCAAGAUGAGUACCGCAACCCCAUAGUUGCCUUUGACUGGAUUUAACCAUCCAGGGAUCCUUUACCUUUACCUUUUUUAUCUCACAGUAAGUCCCAUCUAGUUUUCCUUCUCUCUUCCUUGCCUCGCCCCCUGGCCCCUGGCCUUGUUCCUGGCACUUUUAUUUUAUAUUUAAUUGGGCAUUCUUCUUUAAUUUGCUGCUGUGCUGGAGGUGAGCAUGAAGAAGUGGGACUGAGAAACGGGUGGCUGUGAAAAGUGUUCCUUUCCCCGGGUCUAUGAAAACAAGCCAAAUGAGCAGUUGGUAAAGCCAUCAGCUUCUCUCCCUGAAACAUACAGCAAACAUGUGCUGUGACCUUCGCCUCUCCCCUUUGAUUUACAGCUGCAUUGGAAAGCAACUUAACGAGGUGGCAUGGAGCUUCAAGAGCUGCUGAAGUCAAUUUAUUGUCUAAGUGUUAUGGAUGUUAAUUAGAUUAGGAAUAUGC